RNAcentral lists this ribosomal RNA (489 nucleotides) under uncultured bacterium. Its description in RNAcentral is "partial 16S ribosomal RNA". It matches the Rfam family "Bacterial small subunit ribosomal RNA", at positions 30 to 507 of the family's 1533-position model. The record is from RNAcentral.
UUGAACGCUGGCGGCAGGCCUAACACAUGCACGUCGAACGGUAACAGGAAGAAGCUUGCUUCUUUGCUGAUGAGUGGCGGACGGGUGAGUAAUGUCUGGGAAACUGCCUGAUGGAGGGGGAUAACUACUGGAAACGGUAGCUAAUACCGCAUAACGUCGCAAGACCAAAGAGGGGGACCUUCGGGCCUCUUGCCAUCGGAUGUGCCCAGAUGGGAUUAGCUAGUAGGUGGGGUAACGGCUCACCUAGGCGACGAUCCCUAGCUGGUCUGAGAGGAUGACCAGCCACACUGGAACUGAGACACGGUCCAGACUCCUACGGGAGGCAGCAGUGGGGAAUAUUGCACAAUGGGCGCAAGCCUGAUGCAGCCAUGCCGCGUGUAUGAAGAAGGCCUUCGGGUUGUAAAGUACUUUCAGCGGGGAGGAAGGGAGUAAAGUUAAUACCUUUGCUCAUUGACGUUACCCGCAGAAGAAGCACCGGCUAACUCCGUG